RNAcentral lists this ribosomal RNA (531 nucleotides) under uncultured bacterium. Its description in RNAcentral is "bacterial SSU rRNA". It matches the Rfam family "Bacterial small subunit ribosomal RNA", at positions 355 to 896 of the family's 1533-position model. The record is from RNAcentral.
UGGGGAAUAUUGCACAAUGGGCGCAAGCCUGAUGCAGCGACGCCGCGUGAGGGAUGACGGCCUUCGGGUUGUAAACCUCUUUCAGCAGGGAAGAAGCGAAAGUGACGGUACCUGCAGAAGAAGCGCCGGCUAACUACGUGCCAGCAGCCGCGGUAAUACGUAGGGCGCGAGCGUUGUCCGGAAUUAUUGGGCGUAAAGAGCUUGUAGGCGGUUUGUUGCGUCUGCUGUGAAAGACCGGGGCUUAACCCCGGUAUUGCAGUGGGUACGGGCAGACUAGAGUGCAGUAGGGGAGACUGGAAUUCCUGGUGUAGCGGUGAAAUGCGCAGAUAUCAGGAGGAACACCGAUGGCGAAGGCAGGUCUCUGGGCUGUAACUGACGCUGAGAAGCGAAAGCAUGGGGAGCGAACAGGAUUAGAUACCCUGGUAGUCCAUGCCGUAAACGUUGGGCACUAGGUGUGGGGGACAUUCCACGUUUUCCGCGCCGUAGCUAACGCAUUAAGUGCCCCGCCUGGGGAGUACGGCCGCAAGGCUA